AGAACUUCUGCAGCUCUGAGGAACCUCUUGGCUGGAAAUGAAAAGAAACUGAGCUUUACCUUCAAGUGUAUCCUUCUAGUCCACUCCAGGAUGCUGGGUCUCAAGCCAGUCCCCCUGCAGGGGGUGACUCCUGCUUCAGGCAACUGGAGAUUUCCUGGAGUAAGUCAGACCUCCAUGGCGGAGAGAGCUGACAAAAAUCAAGAAGAAAAAAGAUCUUGUUUUGUGAACAGAAGAGGGCUGUAGGAGAGCUCAUUUCAUCUUAAAAGCUCAUCAUACACCUACUGACAACUGGUCAUUGAGAAGCAGCUCGGGUACCAGGCCAACAGUGCCAGAGUGGGAAACAGAGGAGCUGGCUGACAAUUCUGGCUCUGCUCUGCGACCCUGAGCAAAUCCCUCCGCCUCCCUGAGCCCCAUUUUUCACAUUUCUGAAUAAAGAACACUGCCGGCAUGUCACAGGACUGUGUGGGAUUUCCGACUCCACCAGACUUGAAGCACUGGACAAAGGAAAGGCGUUCUUGCACGGCUCUCCCCUCUCUCCUGCCACCGGGCACAAAAGCACACUGUAGAAAACCUUGGGAUCUAUCUUCCCAGUAGACGGGACAGGUACUAUCUCAAGGCUCUUAGUAGAACAACAGAGAGAGACAAGAGGAAGGCACUUCCAUGCACACUGGAGGACAGGAGGGCACUCGGGAAGAAACCCAGGAGCCCAGAAGAAAACUCAUCCACAAGUCUGGGGUCACUCGGCUCCUCUGCGGAAGCCAGAGUCAGGA
Canis lupus familiaris (dog) is the source of this 770-nucleotide long non-coding RNA. RefSeq lists it as uncharacterized. The record is from RefSeq and is a predicted model, not a curated record. NCBI's taxonomy places the organism in Eukaryota, Metazoa, Chordata, Mammalia, Carnivora, Canidae. The transcript has 3 exons.